Molecule: ribosomal RNA, 253 nt
Filed under: uncultured bacterium
Lineage: Bacteria
Description: partial 16S ribosomal RNA
Rfam family: Bacterial small subunit ribosomal RNA
Source: RNAcentral
UACAGAGGUGGCAAGCGUUGUUCGGAAUUACUGGGCGUAAAGGGCGCGUAGGCGGCCUUCUAAGUCGGACGUGAAAGCCCCAGGCUUAACCUGGGAACUGCGUCCGAUACUGGGAGGCUUGGAUUCGGGAGAGGGAUGUGGAAUUCCAGGUGUAGCGGUGAAAUGCGUAGAUAUCGGGAGGAAUACCUAUGGCGAAAGCAGGCUACUGGACCGUCACUGACUCUGAUCUGCGAAAGCUAGGGGAGCAAACAGG